UGGGGAAUAUUGCACAAUGGGGGGAACCCUGAUGCAGCCAUGCCGCGUGUAUGAAGAAGGCCUUCGGGUUGUAAAGUACUUUCGGUGAAGAGGAAGGUUUAAGCUCUAACAGGAAUUAAACUUGACGUUAUUUACAGAAGAAGCACCGGCUAACUCCGUGCCAGCAGCCGCGGUAAUACGGAGGGUGCGAGCGUUAAUCGGAAUGACUGGGCGUAAAGGGCAUGUAGGCGGAUAAUUAAGUUAGGUGUGAAAUCCCCGGGCUCAACCUGGGAACUGCACUUAAGACUGAUAGUCUAGAGUAUUGUAGAGGGAGGUAGAAUUCCAUGUGUAGCGGUGAAAUGCGUAGAGAUGUGGAGGAAUACCGGUGGCGAAGGCGGCCUUCUGGACAAAUACUGACGCU
RNAcentral lists this ribosomal RNA (400 nucleotides) under uncultured bacterium. Its description in RNAcentral is "bacterial SSU rRNA". It matches the Rfam family "Bacterial small subunit ribosomal RNA", at positions 355 to 747 of the family's 1533-position model. The record is from RNAcentral.